RNAcentral lists this transfer RNA (74 nucleotides) under Podarcis lilfordi (Lilford's wall lizard). RNAcentral's name for it is "tRNA.Val". The record is from RNAcentral. Lineage: Eukaryota; Metazoa; Chordata; Lepidosauria; Squamata; Lacertidae.
GCCCGGAGAGCUCAGUUGGUUAGAGUGCGGUGCUGACAACGCCAAGGUUGCAGGUUCAAUCCCCACAUGGGACA